UACGUAGGGUGCAAGCGUUAAUCGGAAUUACUGGGCGUAAAGCGUGCGCAGGCGGUUGUGCAAGACAGAUGUGAAAUCCCCGGGCUCAACCUGGGAACUGCAUUUGUGACUGUACGGCUGGAGUGCGGCAGAGGGGGAUGGAAUUCCGCGUGUAGCAGUGAAAUGCGUAGAUAUGCGGAGGAACACCGAUGGCGAAGGCAAUCCCCUGGGCCUGCACUGACGCUCAUGCACGAAAGCGUGGGGAGCAAACAGG
RNAcentral lists this ribosomal RNA (253 nucleotides) under uncultured bacterium. RNAcentral's name for it is "partial 16S ribosomal RNA". It matches the Rfam family "Bacterial small subunit ribosomal RNA", at positions 524 to 776 of the family's 1533-position model. The record is from RNAcentral.